RNAcentral lists this ribosomal RNA (159 nucleotides) under uncultured Glomus. RNAcentral's name for it is "5.8S ribosomal RNA". It matches the Rfam family "5.8S ribosomal RNA". Rfam says of the family: 5.8S ribosomal RNA (5.8S rRNA) is a component of the large subunit of the eukaryotic ribosome. It is transcribed by RNA polymerase I as part of the 45S precursor that also contains 18S and 28S rRNA. The record is from RNAcentral. Lineage: Eukaryota; Fungi; Glomeromycota; Glomeromycetes; Glomerales; Glomeraceae.
UCACUUUCAACAACGGAUCUCUUGGCUCUCGCAUCGAUGAAGAACGUAGCGAAGUGCGAUAAGUAAUGUGAAUUGCAGAAUUUCCGUGAGUCAUCGAAUCUUUGAACGCAAAUUGCACUUCCCGGUAUUCCGGGAAGUAUGCCUGUUUGAGGGUCCAGU